Molecule: ribosomal RNA, 1548 nt
Filed under: Bacillus sp. NTK071
Lineage: Bacteria; Bacillati; Bacillota; Bacilli; Caryophanales; Bacillaceae
Description: partial 23S ribosomal RNA
Rfam family: Bacterial large subunit ribosomal RNA
Source: RNAcentral
GGUUAAGCUACUAAGGGCGCACGGUGGAUGCCUUGGCACUAGAAGCCUAAGAAGGACGGGACGAACACCGAUAUGCUUCGGGGAGCUGUAAGUACGCUUUGAUCCGGAGAUUUCCGAAUGGGGGAACCCACUAUCUUUAAUAGGAUAGUAUCCAUUUCUGAAUACAUAGGGAAUGGAAGGCAGACCCGGGGAACUGAAACAUCUCAUUACCCGGAGGAAGAGAAAGCAAACGCGAUUUCCUGAGUAGCGGCGAGCGAAACGGAAUCAGCCCAAACCAGAGGGCUUGCCCUCUGGGGUUGUAGGACGUCUCUUUGGAGUUACAAAGGCACGGAUAGACGAAGCGACCUGGAAAGGUCCAUCAGAGAAGGUAACAAUCCUGUAGUCAAAAUCCGCUGCCCUCCGAGACGGAUCCUGAGUACGGCGGGACACGUGAAACCCCGUCGGAAUCCGGGAGGACCAUCUCCCAAGGCUAAAUACUCUCUAGUGACCGAUAGUGAACCAGUACCGUGAGGGAAAGGUGAAAAGCACCCCGGAAGGGGAGUGAAAGAGAACCUGAAACCGUGUGCCUACAACUAGUUGGAGCCCGUUAAUGGGUGACAGCGUGCCUUUUGUAGAAUGAACCGGCGAGUUACGAUCCCGUGCAAGGUUAAGCUGAUAAGGCGGAGCCGCAGCGAAAGCGAGUCUGAAUAGGGCGAAAUAGUACGUGGUCGUAGACCCGAAACCAGGUGAUCUACCCAUGUCCAGGGUGAAGUUCAGGUAACACUGAAUGGAGGCCCGAACCCACGCAUGUUGAAAAAUGCGGGGAUGAGGUGUGGGUAGCGGUGAAAUGCCAAUCGAACCUGGAGAUAGCUGGUUCUCUCCGAAAUAGCUUUAGGGCUAGCCUCGCGGCAAGAAUCUUGGAGGUAGAGCACUGAUUGGACUAGGGGUCCUUACCGGAUUACCGAAUCCAGUCAAACUCCGAAUGCCAACGAUUUAUCCGCGGGAGUCAGACUGCGAGUGAUAAGAUCCGUAGUCGAGAGGGAAACAGCCCAGACCACCAGCUAAGGUCCCAAAGUAUACGUUAAGUGGAAAAGGAUGUGGCGUUGCUUAGACAACCAGGAUGUUGGCUUAGAAGCAGCCAUCAUUUAAAGAGUGCGUAAUAGCUCACUGGUCGAGUGACGCUGCGCCGAAAAUGUACCGGGGCUAAACGUAUCACCGAAGCUGUGGAUUGUCUUACGACAAUGGUAGGAGAGCGUUCUAAGGGCUGUGAAGUCAGACCGAAAGGACUGGUGGAGCGCUUAGAAGUGAGAAUGCCGGUAUGAGUAGCGAAAGACAAGUGAGAAUCUUGUCCGUCGAAAGCCCAAGGUUUCCUGAGGAAGGCUCGUCCGCUCAGGGUUAGUCGGGACCUAAGCCGAGGCCGAAAGGCGUAGGCGAUGGAUAACAGGUUGAUAUUCCUGUACCACCUCCUUUCCGUUUGAACGACGGGGGGACGCAGAAAGAUAGGGAGAGCGCGCUGCUGGAAAUGCGCGUCCAAGCGAUUAGGCUGGUGAAUAGGCAAAUCCGUUCACC